GCCUUCGUGGUGUAAUGGUCAGCACACUCGGCGCGUAUUCGAGAGGUCUGAGGUUCGAGUCCCGGGGAGGGCA
This 73-nucleotide transfer RNA is filed under the name Stegodyphus mimosarum. It matches the Rfam family "tRNA". From Rfam's summary of the family: Transfer RNA (tRNA) molecules are approximately 80 nucleotides in length. Their secondary structure includes four short double-helical elements and three loops (D, anti-codon, and T loops). Further hydrogen bonds mediate the characteristic L-shaped molecular structure. tRNAs have two regions of fundamental functional importance: the anti-codon, which is responsible for specific mRNA codon recognition, and the 3' end, to which the tRNAs corresponding amino acid is attached (by aminoacyl-tRNA synthetases). tRNAs cope with the degeneracy of the genetic code in two manners: having more than one tRNA (with a specific anti-codon) for a particular amino acid; and 'wobble' base-pairing, i.e. permitting non-standard base-pairing at the 3rd anti-codon position. Lineage: Eukaryota; Metazoa; Arthropoda; Arachnida; Araneae; Eresidae. The record is from Rfam by way of RNAcentral.